RNAcentral lists this long non-coding RNA (303 nucleotides) under Equus caballus (horse). RNAcentral's name for it is "lncRNA (ENSECAG00000053686.1)". Lineage: Eukaryota; Metazoa; Chordata; Mammalia; Perissodactyla; Equidae. The record is from RNAcentral.
GCUAAGAGAGAGGCGUGGAACAGACUCUUCCUCACAUUCUUAAAGGAAACCAACCCUACUGAACCUUGAUCUUGGACUUCUAGCCUCCAGAAUUGUAACUGUUGAGUCCAUCUCCUUGAAGAAGUCCGCUCUGCAGCCUUCCUCCGACUCGCUCCAGUACGAACUGGUCCCUCUAAGCCUGCGGCAUCAUCGUCAUCUGGAAUCCUCGAUUCACCAUCAUUCUGGGGAUUUCCUCCGCCGCUAUCUUGUGAUGAAGACGCCGUCUCCUGGUUCCUAUUCUUCCUCUCUCCUGGUGUAUCCCCU